GAUGAACGCUGGCGGCGUGCUUAACACAUGCAAGUCGAACGGGAAGGCCCUACCUUUCUUCGGUACUCGAGUGGCGAACGGGUGAGUAACACGUGAGUAAUCUGCCCUUUACUUCGGGAUAACCUUAGGAAACUGGGGCUAAUACCGGAUAUGACCUUCUCCUGCAUGGGGUUGUGGAAAGCUUUUGCGGUGUGGGAUGAGCUCGCGGCGUAUCAGCUUGUUGGUGGGGUGAUGUCCUAGCACAGCGUCUACGGGUAGCCCGGCUGAGAGGGGGUACGGCGACAUUGGGAGAGGGAGACAGGCCAGAGACUCACGGGGGGGAGAAGAGGGGGAUAUAGCACAAAGGGGGCAAGAGUGAGGCAGAGAAGCGGCGUGGGGGAUGAGGGGGUUUGGGGGGUAAACACCGUUUGCGAUUGAGGAAGAGUGUGGGUGACGGUAAGGGGAGAAGAAGCACCGGCUAACUACGUG
RNAcentral lists this ribosomal RNA (468 nucleotides) under uncultured bacterium. Its description in RNAcentral is "partial 16S ribosomal RNA". It matches the Rfam family "Bacterial small subunit ribosomal RNA", at positions 28 to 507 of the family's 1533-position model. The record is from RNAcentral.